This is a non-coding RNA of Callorhinus ursinus (northern fur seal), 1059 nucleotides long. NCBI's taxonomy places the organism in Eukaryota, Metazoa, Chordata, Mammalia, Carnivora, Otariidae. The record is from RefSeq and is a predicted model, not a curated record.
GUAUAAAACAACAAUAAAUGUUAAGGUUUUUGUGACUUUCUUUAAAAUAGAUGCUGUCUGGCUCUGGUUAAUCUGACUUCGGUAAAUUAUGUAGUAAAGCACUUAAUUUUUAUUAUAAUAGUCUCUAAAAUCAAAAUGUUGAUAACCUUGAGAAACUUAAAAUUUAUUUUCUUCCCAGAUGCUAUGAAGUACACCAUCGUGGUUUCAGCUACUGCUUCUGAUGCUGCUCCCCUUCAGUACCUGGCUCCUUAUUCUGGCUGUUCUAUGGGAGAAUAUUUUAGAGAUAAUGGCAAACAUGCUUUGAUCAUCUAUGAUGACUUAUCCAAACAGGCUGUUGCUUAUCGUCAGAUGUCUCUGCUGCUCCACCGGCCCCCUGGUCGUGAGGCCUAUCCUGGUGAUGUGUUCUACCUACACUCCUGUCUGCUAGAGAGAGCAGCCAAAAUGAACGAUUCUUUUGGUGGUGGCUCCUUGACUGCUUUACCAGUCAUAGAAACACAAGCUGGUGAUGUGUUUGCUGACAUUCCAACAAAUGUCAUUUCCAUCACUGAUGGACAGAUCUUCUUGGAAACAGAAUUGUUCUACAAAGGUAUCCACCCUGCCAUUAAUGUUGGCUUGUCUGUGUCCCAUGUUGGAUCUGCUGCCCAAACCAGGGCCAUGAAGCAGGUGGCAGGGACCAUGAAGCUGGAAUUGGCUCAGUAUCAUAAGGUUGCUGCUUUUGCCCAAUUCGGUUUUGACCUUGAUGCUGCCACUCAGCAACCCUUGAGUUGUGGUGUGUGACUGACUGAGCUGCUUAAGCAAGGACAGUAUUCUCCCAUGGCUAUUGAAGAACAAGUGGCUGUUAUUUAUGCUGGUGUGAGAGGGUAUCUUGAUAAAUUGGAGCCCAGCAAGAUCACAAAGUUUGAGCAUGCUUUCCUGGCUCAUGUUAUCAGCCAGCACCAGGCCCUAUUGGGCAAUAGAAGGACUGAUGGAAAGAUCUCAGAACAGUCAGAUGCUAAGCUGAAAGAGAUUGUAACAAACUUCUUUGCUGGAUUUGAAGCUUAAACUCCUGAGAUCGAAGAG